Long non-coding RNA from Cavia porcellus (domestic guinea pig), 4662 nucleotides. RefSeq lists it as uncharacterized. The transcript has 3 exons. NCBI's taxonomy places the organism in Eukaryota, Metazoa, Chordata, Mammalia, Rodentia, Caviidae. The record is from RefSeq and is a predicted model, not a curated record.
CUCUUCCUCUUUCCCCUCUUUCCUCCUGGGUGCAUGUCCAGUUUCACUUCUCCAUUCAUGGGCUCCUGGGCACCCACUGUGAGAAGCCAAGGGCCAUGGUAGGUGCAUUUGAAUACAGGGCCCAGACCCUUGGCAGUUGGAGUCUCAGGGUGAGGCUGGUCUGGGGCUGGUGCAUGUUGACUUUCUGCUUUCUUGGGAUGGAGUCAGUGAAGGCCCCAGGCUCUGCACAGCAGCCUCCUGGAGCCCCGGCUCCUAGGCCACCGUGUGUUUUGCAUCUGCAGCCUCAGCUCCCUGAAAGCUCCUGCUAUGUGCUGUGAGCCAGGAACCCAGCUGGUGCCAGUGGGCAGCAUUUGGCAUUUUGAGGGCCGCAGAAAGACAUGUGGGACCUGGGAUGUGGUUUCUAGCCUACUCGCAUUUGACGGUCCCCGGGCUUUGGCGCCACUGCUGACGUUGGGAUUUCAGCAGAACAAGGCUGGCUGGGGAACGCAGAUGCUCUCCCUGGAGACAGGGUGGGAGCAGUCCUGAGAAGGAAGCCCUGGUCUGUUUCUGGGUUUGGCUUGGCGGAAGGGGGUGAUGGGGUAGGAAGGCAGGGACUCCCUUUUAUAGCUGGCUUGAUUGCUUGGUCUUUGGUGAGAUCAUGAAUGUCACCUCCCACUGUCUUUUGGAAGCCAAGAUGCUUUUCUCUGUCUCCCACGGACCUCUGCUGCUCUGCUUGGGGACAGCACCGUUACUCACUCCUGCUGCCCCACCCCUCCCCAGCUCCACCUUCCUUUCAGAGAACCAGAGACAGGUGAGACCAGCAGAGUCCAGCAGCAGUGGGGAACACCACUGAUCCUGGCCGGCCACACCUGCCCUAGCUUGCUAGGUCAAUCAGCUAUUCUGGUUAACGGCUAAACAGGAACUAAAGUCACCUUCAAGAUUUUUUUCCCAGUGGUAGAUGGAAUUUAAUUACCAAUGAAAGGAAACAAACACAUUGAAUUAAUUGGAUUAAUUAAUUGAAUUAACAAGUGCAUUGAAUACUUUGUAUUUCUUGGGUAAUACCAGGGAGCAGAAGUUUGGGAGGAGGGACGACCUGGAUUGACUCUUCUUAAAGGCCCAGUCUUCAGAUAAGUUCAGCGAUGCUGGGAUGCUGGCUUGAGCAGCGGUUCUCCCAGUGUGGUCUGGGGAAAUGAUCGAGUCAGUUGCCAGCAGGGACCUAGAGCACGUGGGUGGCUUUUCCCAGCCUAGAGUCUCUGAUUAGUAGGUCAGGGCACCCAGGGAACUGUGUUUCUGAACUGUUCCCCGGAGAUGGAGCGAGCUCAUGCUGCAGGAGGCCACAGUUUGAGGACCUCUGCUUUAGUGACAGGAUUUCGGUAUCACUAAUAUAUAUGUGAAUGUCACACAGUGCAGCAUGACUUCUUGAUCCAUGUAUAUGAUGUAGUAUAAUCGAUAAGGGCUAUUGGUACAUCCCUCACCUCCAACCUUACUUUGUGCUGCAAAAUUUCAAAAUCCUCCUGUAUAGCUGUGUUUGAACUUUACAGUUAAAUGAUACCACCCCUAACUAAUGUUCCCUGGGGAACAUUGUGAGCUAUUGCUUAUGUGUAACUGGACCUCUGUAUCUAUUAACCAUGCGCACUUUUCCUUCUCCCCUACUUCCAAGGCACCUUUCAACUUCUAUAAGGUCAGUGUUUUAACUUCCGCACGUAGGUGAGAACACAUGGCAUUUGUUUUUCUGUGUCUGACUUAUUUCACUGAGCAUGAUGUUCUCCAGUUCCAUCCAUGUGGCUGCAAAUGAGAGACUUUCCUUCUUUUUUGGAGCUGAAUAAUAUCCCACCAAGAUUAUUUGCUUGUUAAAAAGGAUUCUUGAUCAAAUGUUAUUUUUUUGUGUGACAGAUGGCAUUUUAUGUGACACAUAGCAACCCCUAUAGGAAAAAGGAAUCAGCAGCUUUUUCUAAGGAUGUUUCCUUGUUUGUUCUGCAUACUGAGAAUCAGGACUUGACUCAAAUCACUAGCGAUGGCCCAUCUGUUUUAGAAAUCAGUCCACAAUGAUGUCUUCAGUUCUGUUAUAAUAUGAAUCUUCAAUGUCCCCAGCAGGCCCAUGUGUUAAAGUCUUGGUCUCCAGCCUUUAGUCUACUGAGUGGUAAGACCUGAUGGGAAGAGUCUGGGUCAUUAGUGAUGUGUGAUAGAAACGGGUGCUUGGAGGCCUGGUUCCUUCUCUUUCUCUUUUGCUUCCCAGCUGCCAUGGGGUGAGCAGGUUUCCUCUCGCAUGUGCUGUCUUAACACAAGCUCCAAAGCUACAGGACCGGGUGACCAUGGACUGAAUCUCCUGAAACCAUAAGCCAAAAAGAACUGUUCCUUCUGUAAGUUGUUCAUCUCAAUUAUCUUGUCACGGCAACAGAAAGCUGCAACAUAAAGUUUUAACCCGAAGCUCUGUAAAGACAGCAAAACAUCCUUUGGGAAUUUCUCGUUCUGUACAGAAUAAAAUUAGAAUCAGCUUAUGGUUGUUAUUUUAAAUAUGAGUAUGCAUAUGUAAAUGGAAGUCAGAUAUAUUGUCAGGACCUGAUGUUGACCUUCAGUCCUUUAGCAAGUUGUGGCUAAAAGCUUGUGUCUUCAGUGUCCGCUGUUUUUCUCUUCUGCUUUUUUUCUGACUGCUUUCUCUGUGUCUCAUGAUUCUCUCUUUUCAUAGAUGUUAGAGGGGUGUGAGGCCUUUCUGUUCCUGUGGGGUGUGAACAUUAAUGCUUGCAUGCUUACUUUCUGGGUUAAGAGACACUUGGCACAUUAGCAGAGCAUGCUCCAGGGUGUGUCCGGUAGGUUCCGGAGACACAGCCAUGGGUACUCUGUGUGGUCCCUCUCCUGCACAUCUCUGGUGCUGCUCCCCGGCUCUGCUCCCUGACGGUCAUGAGUUAAGCAGCUUUGAUUCAACAUAACCUUCCACCAGGAUGUUCCUGCCUUGGAGCAGCUGACCAUGGACUGAAUCUCUCCAAAGUGUGAGCUAAAUUAAACCUUUUCUCGUCCAAAUUGGAGAUGCAGGUAUAGUGGCCAGCAACUGGAAAGCUAAUACACAGGGUGAAAAUGUUAUCAAGACUGGCUAUCACUCUGUGCUUAAGGAAAUGUGAAGAAUGGAGGGAGAGACUCCGCAGGCAGGGGUCUAAUGACAAAAGGAAAUUAGGGGCAAGCUGCUCCAUCUGAGAAAAUAAGAUGCUCCAGAGAGGGAGACAUGGAAGGAGGAAGGAAUGGAGGAGAGGAGAUGGGUGAGGUGAGUCAGGGAAAGGCUGCUGUUGGUUGGGGUGAGGCUGCUGGCCACAGGUGGCAUGAGCCACAGGGACUUUAAAGACAGAUUCUGAAAUGCUGACCAUAAAUGCUCAGUGUGCCCUGGUCACUCUGUAACCUUCUACUGUUCUAUGCUGUAUGUGUGUGUGCACAUGCGUGUGUAAAGGGAGACUGUAUUUGCACCAGUGGCACGUGCAGCAGAAGUGAAGGCAUUGGAAUAAGGCCUUGGAAAGCCAUUUGGCCUUUCAUUGGCAUCGUAUUUUUCCAAAAGGUGGAAGGAGGUUUAGGUCUCUCCAUUACACCCGCUGGCAGGAGACUGAUAGCCACACUGUUCUUUAGCACUCAGUGCUGAUGACCUAGCAUGCUUUUUGUCUGCCAGCAAAUGUAACUUCAUCGUUAUUUGUGUUUAACUGUGGCUCCUCUUGUCUAGUUGCUCUCAGAUACUUAUCACAGUCAUGUGUCGCAUCCCAGUGUUUUGGUCAACCAUGGACCUCGUGGAUGAAGAUGCCUGAUGCAGCCUGAUACACUUUGGGUUCAGUGCAACCUGAAAACUGCUCCCCCAUUGUGAGGAGUCAGGAAGCCAUACCACUUCCUGUGUAACACCAUUUAUCAUCCCCCAGUGGGUGCUGGCAAAAGGCAUGAGACCCCAGGUAUGAGACAAAGGGCUGUGUUACUCAUCGUACGAAGAGCAACGUGACGACCAGCAGGCUUACCUUGACUCCCCUUGCUCUUGGAUCCAGUAUGAGCUCAGGUGCUAUUCAUGCAGAAAUUUUGUGAUACAGCCAAGGACCCUGAGAUUGAGGACAUCGCAUUAGCAUUGAAAAAAUAAAGCUGAGCAUCCAAUCUUCUAGUCACUGUAAGAGGGAAGCUUCCCUGUAGUUACACGGACACUGACUUGCUAGUUACUACUGUAAGUAGCUACACAACCACUUCUGACCAGAAGGCAGGCAAGCUUUGUAAUGUGGUACACACCACAAAGAUUUACACAGAUAUUUACGGUGCAUGGUGAACUAUUUCUCUAAAUAGUUGGUUGUCUUGUCAAUAAAUUUGAAAAUUAGAGAAAAUGUUCUUUUGUUUGUAUCCAAAUAUGUAUGAUUUUCAGUGCAUUUCAUUGAUUAGGGGCAUAUUUCCCUUCUGUUAUGAUUUAAUUUUAAAUUGAAGAACUUCCUUUGGUACUUCUUGAAGUGCAGAUCUGGUGGUAGUGAAUUCCCUCAGCUUUUGCUUAUAUGAAAAUAUCUUUAUUUCAUUUUUUUCCUCACUUUUUGAAACAGUUGUUUUUUGGUUGGAAAUAUUUUAAUUGUAUGUAGAAUUUAGGUAAGAGUUCCUUGUCCAGUGCCUUAAAGAUCUUGCCUCAUUAUAUUUUGGUCGACCUUGAAUCUGAUAAGCAGUUAAUGAUUAUUUUGAUAUGAUAUU